GACGAACGCUGGCGGCGUGCUUAACACAUGCAAGUCGAACGGAAAGGCCCUGCUUUUGUGGGGUUCUCGUUUGGCGAACGGGUGUGUAACACGUGAGUAACCUGCCCUUGACUUUGGGAUAACUUCUGGAAACUGGGGCUAAUACCGGAUAGGAUCUCCUGCUGCAUGGUGUUGGUUGGAAAAUUUCGGCGGUGGGGGAUGGACUCGCGGCUUAUCAGCUUGUUGGUGGGGUAGUGGCUUACCAAGGCUUUGACGGGUAGCCGGCCUGAGAGGGUGACCGGCGACAUGGGGACUGAGAGACGGACCAGAAGCCUACGGGAGGCAGCAGUGGAGAGUAUUGCGCAAUGGGGGGAAGCCUGAUGCAGAAGCGCCGCGUGCGGGAUGACGGCCUUCGGGUUGUAAACCGCUUUCGCCUGUGACGAAGAGUGAGUGACGGUAAUGGGUAAAGAAGCACCGGCUAACUACGUG
RNAcentral lists this ribosomal RNA (468 nucleotides) under uncultured bacterium. Its description in RNAcentral is "partial 16S ribosomal RNA". It matches the Rfam family "Bacterial small subunit ribosomal RNA", at positions 28 to 507 of the family's 1533-position model. The record is from RNAcentral.